UAUAUGUUCACCAGUAAGUUAUAUGUAGGUAGGGCCUAGACAGUUGAUGGAUAUGUAGGUAGGGCCUAGACAGUUGAUGGAUAUGAAGGUAGGGCCUAGACAGUUGAUGAAUAUGUAGGUAGGGCCUAGACGGUUGAUGGAUAUGAAGGUAGGGCCUAGACAGUUGAUGGAUAUGUAGGUAGGGCCUAGACAGUUGAUGCAUAUGUAGGUAGGGCCUAGACAGUUGAUGCAUAUGUAGGUAGGGCCUAGACAGUUGAUGGACAUGUAGGUAGGGCCUAGACAGUUGAUGCAUAUGUAGGUAGUGCCUAGACAGUUGAUGCAUAUGUAGGUAGGGCCUAGACAGUUGAUGGAUAUGUAGGUAGGGCCUCGACAGUUGAUGCAUAUGUAGGUAGGGCCUAGACAGUUGAUGGAUAUGUAGGUAGGGCCUAGACAGUUGAUGGGUAUGUAGGUAGGGCCUAGACAGUUGAUGGAUAUGUAGGUAGGGCCUAGACAGUUGAUGAAUAUGUAGGUAGGGCCUAGACAGUUGAUGGAUAUGUAGGUAGGGCCUAGACAGUUGAUGGAUAUGUAGGCAGUGCCUAGACAGUUGAUGCAUAUGUAGGUAGGGCCUAGACGGUUGAUGGAUAUGAAGGUAGGGCCUAGACAGUUGAUGAAUAUGUAGGUAGGGCCUAGACGGUUGAUGGAUAUGAAGGUAGGGCCUAGACAGUUGAUGGAUAUGAAGGUAGGGCCUAGACAGUUGAUGGAUAUGUAGGUAGGGCCUCGACAGUUGAUGCAUAUGUAGGUAGGGCCUAGACAGUUGAUGGAUAUGUAGGUAGGGCCUAGACAGUUGAUGGGUAUGUAGGUAGGGCCUAGACAGUUGAUGGAUAUGUAGGUAGGGCCUAGACAGUUGAUGCAUAUGUAGGUAGGGCCUAGACAGUUGAUGGAUAUGUAGGUAGGGCCUAGACGGUUGAUGGAUAUGAAGGUAGGGCCUAGACAGUUGAUGGAUAUGUAGGUAGGGCCUCGACAGUUGAUGCAUAUGUAGGUAGGGCCUAGACAGUUGAUGGAUAUGUAGGUAGGGCCUAGACAGUUGAUGGGUAUGUAGGUAGGGCCUAGACAGUUGAUGGAUAUGUAGGUAGGGCCUAGACAGUUGAUGCAUAUGUAGGUAGGGCCUAGACAGUUGAUGGAUAUGUAGGUAGGGCCUAGACAGUUGAUGGAUAUGUAGGUAGGGCCUAGACAGUUGAUGGAUAUGUAGGUAGGGCCUAGACAGUUGAUGGAUAUGUAGGUAGGGCCUAGACAGUUGAUGGAUAUGUAGGUAGGGCCUAGACAGUUGAUGGAUAUGUAGCUAGGGCCUAGACAGUUGAUGGAUAUGUAGCUAGGGCCUAGACAGUUGAUGGAUAUGUAGCUAGGGCCUAGACAGUUGAUGGAUAUGAAGCUAGGGCCUAGACAGUUGAUGGAUAUGAAGCUAGGGCCUAGACAGUUAAUGGAUAUGUAGCUAGGGCCUAGACAGUUGAUGGAUAUGAAGCUAGGGCCUAGACAGUUGAUGGAUAUGAAGCUAGGGCCUAGACAGUUGAUGGAUAUGUAGCUAGGGCCUAGACAGUUGAUGGAUAUGAAGCUAGGGCCUAGACAGUUGAUGGAUAUGUAGCUAGGGCCUAGACAGUUGAUGGAUAUGUAGGUAGGGCCUAGACAGUUGAUGGAUAUGUAGGUAGGGCCUAGACGGUUGAUGGAUAUGUAGGUAGGGCCUAGACGGUUGAUGCAUAUGUAGGUAGGGCCUAGACAGUUGAUGGAUAUGUAGGUAGGGCCUAGACGGUUGAUGGAUAUGUAGGUAGGGCCUAGACGGUUGAUGCAUAUGUAGGUAGGGCCUAGACAGUUGAUGGAUAUGUAGGUAGGGCCUAGACAGUUGAUGGAUAUGUAGGUAGGGCCUAGACAGUUGAUGGAUAUGUAGGUAGGGCCUAGACAGUUGAUGGGUAUGUAGGUAGGGCCUAGACAGUUGAUGCAUAUGUAGGUAGGGCCUAGACAGUUGAUGCACCUUCAUUUGCCAGAGACAGACAGAUAGACAGGGUGGAAGUGGUAGCCUACAUCUCUAAGGGAUGGAGGUAGGGCUGGGGCUUGUGUUCUACAUCUGAAAGUAAAACCACAGCACGGCUGACAUGUUGAAUCUACGGUGAGAACAUCGACAUAAACACCUUCUUCUUAUGUGCAACUUUUUUUUUAAUGACAAAGCAAAUUCUUUUAACAUUCUGUGAUUUUCUGCCAUUUUAAUUAACAUAUUAGUUUAAACUAUUUUGUCCUUCUCUUUAUGUGCUGUCUGUCUGUCACUACUUGUCAAUGUGUUUUGUUCUAUUUCUGUAUCCCCAUUUUGACAGGAAGCUUCAUGAUGCAAUAGCAGAUGUAAAACCAAACUCACUCUCUUCCUGUCAGAAAUCAGAAGAGCUUAAAUAGGAAAUGAAAUAGGAAAUGAAAUGCUGUCAAACAUGAAAUCAUUACAUGUCUCUUGCAUGCUUGUCUCUUGGUAAAACUGAAAAACUAAAUGCACAAAAAAAUGCAAUGACAUAUAUAGUUUGAAUGUACCUAUCCUAUUCUACCUAGAAAAUAGAACAAAACUUUGCUGAUUUGUUAGCAGAUUCAUUUUCAGGUAAGCGUUAUGCAGGUUGUAGUUAGAACACUGCACCUUCACUGACAUUUAGUGCAAUUACUUCCUGAAAGUUACUUCCUGAAAGUGUUUGUUUUUGUUUUUCUGUCUUUGUUAUUAUUUUCCAUCUCAUGUGAUAUUUUUCUGUC
Oncorhynchus keta (chum salmon) is the source of this 2754-nucleotide long non-coding RNA. RefSeq lists it as uncharacterized. The record is from RefSeq and is a predicted model, not a curated record. The transcript is spliced from 7 exons. Lineage: Eukaryota; Metazoa; Chordata; Actinopteri; Salmoniformes; Salmonidae.